GUAGGUGGCAAGCGUUGUCCGGAAUUAUUGGGCGUAAAGCGCGCGCAGGCGGUCCUUUAAGUCUGAUGUGAAAGCCCACGGCUCAACCGUGGAGGGUCAUUGGAAACUGGGGGACUUGAGUACUGAAGAGGAAAGCGGAAUUCCAAGUGUAGCGGUGAAAUGCGUAGAGAUUUGGAGGAACACCAGUGGCGAAGGCGGCUUUCUGGUCUGUAACUGACGCUGAGGCGCGAAAGCGUGGGGAGCAAACAGGAUUAGAUACCCUGGUAGUCCACGCCGUAAACGAUGAGUGCUAAGUGUUAGGGGGUUUCCCGCCCCCUUAGUGCUGCAGCUAACGCAUUAAGCACUCCGCCUGGGGAGUACGGCCGCAAGGCUG
Molecule: ribosomal RNA, 373 nt
Filed under: uncultured organism
Description: partial 16S ribosomal RNA
Rfam family: Bacterial small subunit ribosomal RNA
Source: RNAcentral